This 545-nucleotide ribosomal RNA is filed under the name uncultured bacterium. RNAcentral describes it as "partial 16S ribosomal RNA". It matches the Rfam family "Bacterial small subunit ribosomal RNA", at positions 355 to 891 of the family's 1533-position model. The record is from RNAcentral.
UGGGGAAUAUUGCACAAUGGGCGCAAGCCUGAUGCAGCCAUGCCGCGUGUGUGAAGAAGGCCUUCGGGUUGUAAAGCACUUUUGUCCGGAAAGAAAUCCUUGGCUCUAAUACAGUCGGGGGAUGACGGUACCGGAAGAAUAAGCACCGGCUAACUACGUGCCAGCAGCCGCGGUAAUACGUAGGGUGCAAGCGUUAAUCGGAAUUACUGGGCGUAAAGCGUGCGCAGGCGGUUUGCUAAGACCGAUGUGAAAUCCCCGGGCUCAACCUGGGAACUGCAUUGGUGACUGGCAGGCUAGAGUAUGGCAGAGGGGGGUAGAAUUCCACGUGUAGCAGUGAAAUGCGUAGAGAUGUGGAGGAAUACCGAUGGCGAAGGCAGCCCCCUGGGCCAAUACUGACGCUCAUGCACGAAAGCGUGGGGAGCAAAACAGGAUUAGAUACCCCUGGUAGUCCACGCCCUAAACGAUGUCAACUAGUUGUUGGGGAUUCAUUUCCUUAGUAACGUAGCUAACGCGUGAAGUUGACCGCCUGGGGAGUACGGUCGCAA